Molecule: long non-coding RNA, 601 nt
Filed under: Salmo salar (Atlantic salmon)
Lineage: Eukaryota; Metazoa; Chordata; Actinopteri; Salmoniformes; Salmonidae
Description: lncRNA (ENSSSAG00000112769.1)
Source: RNAcentral
UGAUAUUCAGGUAUACCAUGUAGACUUGAUAUUCAGGUAUACCAUGUAGACUUGAUAUUCGGGUAUACCAUGUAGACUUGAUAUUAAGGUAUACCAUGUAGACUUGAUAUUCAGGUAUACCAUGUAGACUUGAUAUUCAGGUAUACCAUGUAGACUUGAUAAUCAGGUAUACCAGGCUGACUUGAUAUUCAUGUAUACCAUGUAGACUUGAUAAUCAGGUAUACCAGGCUGACUUGAUAUUCAGGUAUACCAUGUAGACUUGAUGUUCAGGUAUACCAGGCUGACUUGAUAUUCAGGUAUACCAUGUAGACUUGAUAUUCAGGUAUACAAUGUAGACUUGAUAUUCAGGUAUACCAGGCUGACUUGAUAUUCAGGUAUACCAUGUAGACUUGAUAUUCAGGAAUACAAUGUAGACUUGAUAUUCAAGUAUACCAUGUAGACUUGAUAUUCAGGUAUACCAUGUAGACUUGAUAUUCAGGUAUACCAUGUAGACUUGAUAUUCAGGUAUACCAGUGUAUACUUGAAAUACAGGUAUACCAGUGUAGACUUGAUAUUCAGGUAUACCGGUGCAUACUUGAUAUACAGGUAUACCAGUGUAGAC